This 81-nucleotide transfer RNA is filed under the name Araneus ventricosus. It matches the Rfam family "tRNA". Rfam says of the family: Transfer RNA (tRNA) molecules are approximately 80 nucleotides in length. Lineage: Eukaryota; Metazoa; Arthropoda; Arachnida; Araneae; Araneidae. The record is from Rfam by way of RNAcentral.
GCAGUCGUGGCCGAGUGGUUAAGGCGAUGGACUCGAAAUCCAUUGGGGUUUCCCGCGUAGGUUCGAAUCGUACCGGCUGCG